GCUAUCCCCUUAUAAUUUUUAUGACAAGGAAUACUGUCGACUACUAUCAUGGGUGUACAUUGAUGGUUGUUCAUAUCACCACAUCGUUGGUAAUGAACGGAGGUUAGUUGCAGGUAUCGGAAUCACCUGGAUAGGUGAUUAUCCUAAUGUAUCUAUUAGAUACAAUAUUGGUCCCAAAAGCAGUCAGAUAGCCGAACACUGUGCAAUAUAUAAGACUAUACAAAUGGCAAUAGAAUAUGGUAUCAAAGAAUUUAUCAUAACUGAUUCCAACUAUGUUCGCAACAGUUUUGUGGACUAUCUGCCUAGCUGUAAACAUAACCAAAUGCCGAAAAGCAAUAACAAACCUGUUAAACACAGUAAAUUGUUUUGUAAAAAUCAAUGAACUGGUUAAGAAAAAUGGUUUAACCAUAUACUGGAAAAAAAAAAACAAAGGCCAUUCUAAAAUACAAGGUUUGACAAGGAAGGUAAUGACUUAGCC
Molecule: non-coding RNA, 478 nt
Organism: Pelobates cultripes (western spadefoot toad)
Lineage: Eukaryota; Metazoa; Chordata; Amphibia; Anura; Pelobatidae
Source: the annotation of a GenBank genome assembly